GGGUUGUGAGGUUAAGCGAACAAGCGUACACGGUGGAUGCCCUGGCAGUCAGAGGCGAUGAAGGACGUGCUAAUCUGCGAAAAGCGCCGGUAAGGUGAUAUGAACCGUUAUAACCGGCGAUGUCCGAAUGGGGAAACCCGGUGCACUUCGGUGCAUCAUCGUUAGCUGAAUACAUAGGCUAACGAGGCGAACCGGGGGAACUGAAACAUCUAAGUACCCCGAGGAAAAGAAAUCAACCGAGAUUCCCCCAGUAGCGGCGAGCGAACGGGGAACAGCCCAGAGCCUGAAUCAGCUUGUGUGUCAGUGGAACGGUCUGGAAAGGCCGGCGAUACAGGGUGACAGCCCCGUACACGAAGGCACACAGGCUGUGAGCUCGAUGAGUAGGGCGGGACACGUGAUAUCCUGUCUGAAGAUGGGGGGACCAUCCUCCAAGGCUAAAUACUCCUGACUGACCGAUAGUGAACCAGUACCGUGAGGGAAAGGCGAAAAGAACCCCGGCGAGGGGAGUGAAACAGAACCUGAAACCGUGUACGUACAAGCAGUGGGAGCCUUCGUAAGAGGGUGACUGCGUACCUUUUGUAUAAUGGGUCAGCGACUUAUAUUCUGUAGCAAGGUUAACCGUAUAGGGGAGCCGAAGGGAAACCGAGUCUUAACCGGGCGUUAAGUUGCAGGGUAUAGACCCGAAACCCGGUGAUCUAGCCAUGGGCAGGUUGAAGGUUGGGUAACACUAACUGGAGGACCGAACCGACUAAUGUUGAAAAAUUAGCGGAUGACCUGUGGCUGGGGGUGAAAGGCCAAUCAAACCGGGAGAUAGCUGGUUCUCCCCGAAAGCUAUUUAGGUAGCGCCUCGUGAACUCAUCUCCGGGGGUAGAGCACUGUUUCGGCUAGGGGGCCAUCCCGGCUUACCAACCCGAUGCAAACUGCGAAUACCGGAGAAUGUUAUCACGGGAGACACACGGCGGGUGCUAACGUCCGUCGUGAAGAGGGAAACAACCCAGACCGCCAGCUAAGGUCCCAAAGUCAUGGUUAAGUGGGAAACGAUGUGGGAAGGCCCAGACAGCCAGGAUGUUGGCUUAGAAGCAGCCAUCAUUUAAAGAAAGCGUAAUAGCUCACUGGUCGAGUCGGCCUGCGCGGAAGAUGUAACGGGGCUAAACCAUGCACCGAAGCUGCGGCAGCGACGCUUAUGCGUUGUUGGGUAGGGGAGCGUUCUGUAAGCCUGCGAAGGUGUGCUGUGAGGCAUGCUGGAGGUAUCAGAAGUGCGAAUGCUGACAUAAGUAACGAUAAAGCGGGUGAAAAGCCCGCUCGCCGGAAGACCAAGGGUUCCUGUCCAACGUUAAUCGGGGCAGGGUGAGUCGACCCCUAAGGCGAGGCCGAAAGGCGUAGUCGAUGGGAAACAGGUUAAUAUUCCUGUACUUGGUGUUACUGCGAAGGGGGGACGGAGAAGGCUAUGUCGGCCGGGCGACGGUUGUCCCGGUUUAAGCGUGUAGGCUGACUUUCCAGGCAAAUCCGGAAAGUUAAGGCUGAGGCGUGAUGACGAGGCACUACGGUGCUGAAGUGACAAAUGCCCUGCUUCCAGGAAAAGCCUCUAAGCAUCAGGUAACAUCAAAUCGUACCCCAAACCGACACAGGUGGUCAGGUAGAGAAUACCAAGGCGCUUGAGAGAACUCGGGUGAAGGAACUAGGCAAAAUGGUGCCGUAACUUCGGGAGAAGGCACGCUGACAUGUAGGUGAAGCCCCUGCGGGUGGAGCUGAAGUCAGUCGAAGAUACCAGCUGGCUGCAACUGUUUAUUAAAAACACAGCACUGUGCAAACACGAAAGUGGACGUAUACGGUGUGACGCCUGCCCGGUGCCGGAAGGUUAAUUGAUGGGGUUAUCGCAAGAGAAGCUCCUGAUCGAAGCCCCGGUAAACGGCGGCCGUAACUAUAACGGUCCUAAGGUAGCGAAAUUCCUUGUCGGGUAAGUUCCGACCUGCACGAAUGGCGUAAUGAUGGCCAGGCUGUCUCCACCCGAGACUCAGUGAAAUUGAACUCGCUGUGAAGAUGCAGUGUACCCGCGGCAAGACGGAAAGACCCCGUGAACCUUUACUACAGCUUGACACUGAACAUUGAGCCUUGAUGUGUAGGAUAGGUGGGAGGCUUUGAAGCGUGGACGCCAGUCUGCGUGGAGCCGACCUUGAAAUACCACCCUUUAAUGUUUGAUGUUCUAACCUGGCGCCAUAAUCUGGCGUGGGGACAGUGUCUGGUGGGUAGUUUGACUGGGGCGGUCUCCUCCCAAAGUGUAACGGAGGAGCACGAAGGUCAGCUAAUCCUGGUCGGACAUCAGGAGGUUAGUGCAAUGGCAUAAGCUGGCUUGACUGCGAGAGUGACGGCUCGAGCAGGUGCGAAAGCAGGUCAUAGUGAUCCGGUGGUUCUGUAUGGAAGGGCCAUCGCUCAACGGAUAAAAGGUACUCCGGGGAUAACAGGCUGAUACCGCCCAAGAGUUCAUAUCGACGGCGGUGUUUGGCACCUCGAUGUCGGCUCAUCACAUCCUGGGGCUGAAGUAGGUCCCAAGGGUAUGGCUGUUCGCCAUUUAAAGUGGUACGCGAGCUGGGUUUAGAACGUCGUGAGACAGUUCGGUCCCUAUCUGCCGUGGGCGCUGGAGAAUUGAGGGGGGCUGCUCCCAGUACGAGAGGACCGGAGUGGACGCAUCACUGGUGUUCGGGUUGUCAUGCCAAUGGCACUGCCCGGUAGCUAAAUGCGGAAGAGAUAAGUGCUGAAAGCAUCUAAGCACGAAACUUGCCCCGAGAUGAGUUCUCCCUGAGACUAUAAGUCUCCUGAAGGAACGUUGAAGACGACGACGUUGAUAGGCCGGGUGUGUAAGCGCAGCGAUGCGUUGAGCUAACCGGUACUAAUGAACCGUGAGGCUUAACCUUACAACGCCAAAGAAGU
RNAcentral lists this ribosomal RNA (2928 nucleotides) under Cronobacter sakazakii. RNAcentral describes it as "23S ribosomal RNA". It matches the Rfam family "Bacterial large subunit ribosomal RNA". The record is from RNAcentral. Lineage: Bacteria; Pseudomonadati; Pseudomonadota; Gammaproteobacteria; Enterobacterales; Enterobacteriaceae.